Molecule: non-coding RNA, 145 nt
Organism: Podarcis lilfordi (Lilford's wall lizard)
Lineage: Eukaryota; Metazoa; Chordata; Lepidosauria; Squamata; Lacertidae
Source: the annotation of a GenBank genome assembly
GGGAAGCACGGCACUGCGCACCUCGGGCUUAGGGCAGCUAUCCGCAAGCCUGCGGAGCCCUGCGGGAGUUCCCGCCGGGCGCCGCAGGCUUGCGGGUAGCUGCCCUAAGCCCGGGGUGCGCAGCGGGCUACAGCGCUGUACUCCC